CCUACGGGUGGCAGCAGUGGGGAAUAUUGGGCAAUGGAGGAAACUCUGACCCAGCAACGCCGCGUGAAUGAUGAAGGUCUUCGGAUUGUAAAGUUCUUUUCUAAGGGAAGAAGAAAGUGACGGUACCUUAGUAAUAAGCCGCUGCUACCUACGGGCCAGCAGCCGCGGUAAUACGUAGGAGGCGAGCGUUAUCCGGAAUGACUGGGCGUAAAGGGGGCGUAGGUGGUGUGGCAAGUUAGUAGCGUAACUCCAAGGCUCAACCUUGGAACUACUACUAAAACUGUUGGACUGGAGUGCAGGAGGGGUAACUGGAAUUCUUAGUGUAGCGGUGGAAUGCGUAGAUAUUAGGAGGAACACCAGUGGCGAAGGCGGGUUGCUAGACUGUAACUGACACUGAGGCACGAAAGCGUGGGGAGCAAACAGGAUUAGAUACCCUUGUAGUC
This 443-nucleotide ribosomal RNA is filed under the name uncultured bacterium. RNAcentral describes it as "partial 16S ribosomal RNA". It matches the Rfam family "Bacterial small subunit ribosomal RNA", at positions 338 to 795 of the family's 1533-position model. The record is from RNAcentral.